UUAAUCGUUUGCCUGCGUGGAUCUGACUGCUGCAUAAGAGUUAAGCAGUGAAAUCGUUGGUGGGUUUUUCAGAAAAUGACAACUGUCUGAAAGAGCGUUGGAAUGAAUCGCCCGCCCGCAGCGUGGUAACCGCGAAUUUUCUCUUAUAUCUUGCUAAAGGGGAAGUAAAAAGUCUUCUUCACACGGGGAAUGAUCGCGAGAUUUUAAACCGAAACUGUGAGAAAAUGCGUUGGCACACAAACUGUAUGGCUUAUGACAAGCCCACAUUUGAUCCAGAAGGGGUUUUUUUUAAUGGAUACUAAUCUGAAAUUUGCUCUCAUUACUGUGGUUGGCGCACUGGCGAUGAUUAUAGCGUUCAGUUUCACCGCAGUGAUGCACUGAU
RNAcentral lists this small RNA (382 nucleotides) under uncultured Ewingella sp. RNAcentral's name for it is "Enterobacterial sRNA STnc550". It matches the Rfam family "Enterobacterial sRNA STnc550". The record is from RNAcentral. Lineage: Bacteria; Pseudomonadati; Pseudomonadota; Gammaproteobacteria; Enterobacterales; Yersiniaceae.